Molecule: long non-coding RNA, 1336 nt
Filed under: Microcebus murinus (gray mouse lemur)
Lineage: Eukaryota; Metazoa; Chordata; Mammalia; Primates; Cheirogaleidae
Description: lncRNA (ENSMICG00000048846.1)
Source: RNAcentral
CAGAUUCCCGCCUGCCUCCUCGUGGGAAGCGGCCGCCGCGCUCGCUCCGGGGCGCCCGUUCUGACCGCUCUGAGCCUCGGCGGGGUGAGCGAGGGGGCACACGCGGGAGACUAUGGCUGUGUUGUUUUUAGAAAACUGCAGCCAAUCUCUCUUCCCCCUUCCCUGCUGAGUGUGCAUUUCCCAGCCUAGACCCGCCAGGCCCACAAAUAAAGCCACCGAGAUCGUGCACUCAGCUAGGGACCGCCCCCAGCGUGACCCCGUGCCCCCUGGCUCCCUCCUGCCUCUCCUCGGGGAACGGCUCCUCGGGCGGCUCAGCGCUCAGAAAACGCAGGGCUCCUUUCCUGCUCGGCAGCCGAGCGCUUCUGCCAGCGUUCUCCAACCAACUAAUAAGCCAUGCACUGGGUACUCAGAGGAAAUGUCAUAUUUAAGUUCUGCCUCUGAUUUCCCUGGUCUUAGCGGAUCUGAGGCUUCUCCGGGUUCCUCGUUUGCACGCACAGUACUGGGUAAUGGAGCCCUACCGCACUGAGGGAUAAUUGCUGGCUGGUGGGUUGGUACAGAGCAAAUUGUCCUUGCUAACAGCCCCUUUCCUUUGCUGUUGGAUUCCACUAAGUGGUGGAAAGGGCCAGUUUUAGGUUUCUGCAAUUCCCCACCAAGGCAGACAGACAGACUUUCUAUGAGAGUAAAGCGAUGGCCCGAGGGAGAACUCAGCAGUGUUCCUUUGCUUUUUAUUUUUUUUUAUUUUUUUGGUCUCAAGAACACAUCCCUCUUCCUGAUAUCAGAGAUCCCCAGCCUGGACAGGACCCAGUUCCCCGGAAGGGGAGAUGCCUCCAGAAUGCCCGGCAGGGGCCGUCAGUGGGCAAUACCCUGCCUCUUGCACUCCCACCAGGGCGACUGCACUCAGCUUGGACUCCCGGAGCCUGGCUGGAACCGUGGCCCAUCAUUAAGAAUAGACUGGAUGGCAAAUGCUCAUUCCUUUCAUCAAGCUGUCAUCAAUUUGUCAGAAAUAAGAUGAAAUCGAUUGCUCCCAGAAGGCCAUUUGAGCCACUAACUUCCUCAAAGUACUUCAGACUGAUGCACUAUAUGGAGAUUCAGAAAGCCAAAUCAGCCUGAUGAAAUUAAGGUGGGAUAUUUGUUUUCUACUUCACAUUUGUCUUUCUUGUUUGAAUUGUUUUAAUAAUAAAAUACUUGGCUUUUAGAAAGAAAGACAGGAAGAGAGAGAGAAUAGAAGAGAAGAGAAGAAAAAGGAAAGCUCACAGUGCCUGCAUAUCUGCAUAUUUCUAUUUUGUCUUGACAAAGUAUGCUGAUUAUAGAACUUCUUAAAGGUCAUUUGGUAAAG